This 1261-nucleotide long non-coding RNA is filed under the name Monodelphis domestica (gray short-tailed opossum). Its description in RNAcentral is "lncRNA (ENSMODG00000034512.2)". The record is from RNAcentral. Lineage: Eukaryota; Metazoa; Chordata; Mammalia; Didelphimorphia; Didelphidae.
CAUGUUUGUAAUCUGGAGUUAUCUUUGACUUUUUCCUUCUAUUUCCCCUUUCUAUCUAAUUUUUACAAUGUCUGAUCAAGUCUAACUGUAUAACAUUUUGAAAAUUUAUUUGUACUUCUCUAUCCCUGUGGCUAGUCCCUUAGUAUGGGUACUCAUUAUUGUCUCCCUGGAACAGUGAUGAUGAACCUUAUAGAGACCAAGUGCCCAAACUGCACUCUUAGACCACAUGUGAUCCACCUCUUUACCCCAGACAGGGGAACAAGUAAGCACUCCCAUUGAGCUUCUGGGCAGAGGGGCAGGUGAUGUGAAAAAUUUCCUCAGGAAAUGUGAAUAACAUCUUCAAUCAACUUGAUCAACUAUAGUGAAAUAUAGGAUGACUAAUACCAACUAUGCUCCUGAUACCCCUUAAAAAGGCAAAUACAAACUUUGAGGUUUAAUCCAUUGCUGGAAGUCUAGACAAGAGCAAAUAAUGUAUAGAUCAUGAGAAGGAAUACAUCACCAUUUCCCUUGUGCCACUUACAGAUUACAAUGGUGGUUGGAAGAAGAGGAUCUUUCAUUCAUAUUUCCCAUCAAUGGCAUGUUGUGGUGGAGCAACUUAACUAGUAGGAGAUGCUGUGGUCAGCAGUCAAUUGAAAAAAAAAAUCCUGUGAAAGUGAGUUUGUUGAAUAUUGAAAUGGGCUCAAAGACCUCAGAAGAGUGAUACACCCAGUAGAGACUGAACACAGGAGAAGCAAUUAUUUAGAAACCUACAUCCACAACAGAGGAGAAAUAUCUUUAAUGCUUAUGUCCCUAGCAUCUUCCGUUAAAUGAAAUGAUGGAUCUCUUUCUGGUCAAAGUAAAUAUAUAUGAGGAAAAUGAAGCAGUACAAUGAGGAACAGAGGAAGUUUGGGAAAAAAUGCUGACAAAUACUGUGUCCAUGCACAAAAUCCUAGGGAUACAAAAUAGUCUUUGUCCUCAAGGAUCUUAUAUUACACUGGGUGGAUAUUCCAUUGUAUAUAUAGUCCUCAAUUACUUGAGAAGACCCAAUGGAGAUCUCCCCUCAGUGAAAGAUUGCCCCUUGAUAGCUUUACUUGCCCUCAAAGGCAGUGAGGAAGUCUUCUGCAAAGGAAGAGGUAUGUCGGACCCCAAUCCAACUAUGAGCUACUUUGGGGUGCUCACAACCCUCCCCCUCAUGUCUGAUUGAAGACUGGCAGCAAGAUGGAGUCUGCCAAUGAGCUUAUUCCCUUGAUGUGAAUAAAUACAUUUGUAAUCACUAUCUGAC